CGCGGGAAGAGGCCCGGCGGGCGCGGGCGGGCCCCUCCGAUGCGGCCCCCUGGCCUUGGAGGCGUCUCGCGUGGGCUGCUGCUCGCCUCACGCUCCGCCGGCGCCCUACCUGCAGAUACUCGCCAACGCUCUGGGUUUUCCCCAGCUUUGCCCCCCCACCCCCUUCCCGUGCUGAUCCCUCCUGGCCCCAGAAACUUGCUUUCCUCGGGACUCAGGGCUGGGCCAGUUGCUCGGUCGAGCCGACCCUUCGGGGGGCUUCUCCUCUGCGUAGACCCAGACACGACACCUGUCUGUGACUGUUGAAUAACUUAAAAUCAGACUUCUUAAAGCAGUUCUCUGAAGAGCAUCCGUAAACACUAGGGCAUCCCUUGAUCAUGCUGUCUGACCAGUGAUGAGCAGACAUCUGGGCAGCAGCUACCAUGCAACUCUAGCCGGCUAUCUGCAUUUCAGAGGUUUCGGAGCACCACGACUUGAAGUAAGACCACAUAACAACUGGGAACCUGAGUCCACUUGUUUCUCUUCCACAAAAGAGCCACUGGCUGAGGUAAAUCCUGGUGGUCAUCUGCUGGCUGACCAAUCAUUGUAGUAAGGUGCUGCUUCUCAUUGGCCAAUGAAGUUCAAGCUUCAAGGGACUGAGGAUUUUCUGCUGUGGUCCCGGCACCAGUGACAACUGAGACCAUUAAGGAAGGUGGUUCUGAACAGACUGCUCGUGCCAGCAAGCUCAGGUGCAGGCCCUUCACAUGGUGACCCAUUCUGACUUUCCCUUUGGCCUGAAGACUUCAGCUUCUCAUUGUGAAUUUCAGACUUUGGGGUAUCAUGAGCUCCAGGAUGGUCCCAGUUAAUGCCUUCAACCAUUCACUACAGGGUCUUCUGAGAUCUAGUGCUCAUUACUGUUCUGAUCUCAAUACUGACUGGAGGCUUCACCAAGUAAGCAAAGCUCAAGCUACCUUCUGUUUCUGUCCAGUACAUGCAGGAAGUUCUCUAUAAUCGUUUCCCAAAUAAGCUUGGCUCUGUCCUGCUCUAUAGGCACUGCAUAUACUGGGCCUAGGCAGUUCGUAAAGAUUUACUGUGCAUCCCCUUGCUUUCUGGGGUUUUCUUUGGGGAUGCAGACUUUGAAACUCUUCAUUCCACACCAGGACAGAUGUACUUCCAGGUCAAGCUCCAUACCAUCUUCCCCUGGGAGGAACCUACUCUUGCUGCCCCGAGUGAAUAGACUAUGUACUGCACUA
Molecule: long non-coding RNA, 1229 nt
Organism: Psammomys obesus (fat sand rat)
Lineage: Eukaryota; Metazoa; Chordata; Mammalia; Rodentia; Muridae
Exons: 4
Source: RefSeq, a predicted model, not a curated record